This 336-nucleotide ribosomal RNA is filed under the name Triticum aestivum (bread wheat). Its description in RNAcentral is "partial small subunit ribosomal RNA". Lineage: Eukaryota; Viridiplantae; Streptophyta; Magnoliopsida; Poales; Poaceae. The record is from RNAcentral.
AUGAGGCGGAUCCGCAAGGAACUGGAGCUGCUCUUGAUCGACCCGCCGGCGUUCUGCCGGCCCGGCCCGGCGCCCGUGACGGACCUGUUCCACUGGGAGGUGGUCAUCGACGGCCCCCACGGUAGCCCCUACGCCGGCGGCACGUUCCCCGUCGACGUCGCCUACCCCAAGGACUACCCAUUCGACCCCAUCAAGCUCACCUUCAGAACCAAGGUGAGUCGGCCGGCACUGCCCUCUAGCUGCAUGCAUGCUUCCUCCAUAAAGAUCGACCGAUCGAUCGGCAUCUGUACGUAUGACCGCGCCAAAACGAUCGACUGGUCAAUUGCCCUCCCAUAA